Long non-coding RNA from Felis catus (domestic cat), 2787 nucleotides. RefSeq lists it as uncharacterized. The record is from RefSeq and is a predicted model, not a curated record. Lineage: Eukaryota; Metazoa; Chordata; Mammalia; Carnivora; Felidae. The transcript has 3 exons.
AAACUGGAAAUUACAUUGUGCUUAUAGGCCCUAGAGCUCAGGACAGGUAGAAGGAAUGAAUACAACCCUAAAAGAGACCCUUGCCAAAUUAACCAUGGAGACUGGCGGGGACUGGGUGACUCUUCUACUGUACGCCCUUUACCGGGUUAGAAAUACUCCUUACACUCUGGGUUUUACUCCCUACGAGAUCAUGUUUGGCAGCCACCCCCUGUUAUUCCCAGCCUUCGAGCUGAACUUAUUGCUGAGUUUAAAGAUCAAGAACUUUUUCUUUCCUUGAGAGGGCUCCAGAGGGCGCACGAGGACAUUUGGCUGCGCCUCCGUGCCAUCUAUGAGGCUGGCCCGACCCUGACACCUCAUCAGUACAGGCCAGGAGACUGGGUCUACGUCAAGAGGCACCACCGAGAGACUCUCGAACCGCGCUGGAAGGGACCCUACAUCGUGGUGUUGACAACCCCCACCGCUCUCAAAGUAGACGGCAUCGAGACCUGGGUCCAUCACACCCACGCUCGGCCAGCGGACUCCUCCUCGAUCCGGAAGGACGUUGUCACGCGAUGGGCCAUCAGUCGGGACCAACACAGCCCGCUCAAGCUCAAGCUACAGUGCAUUCGACCCACCUAAUAUUGCCUCUGACGGGGGGACCUAUUUCUCUUUGAUCCUACCCUGCAACGAAGGAUGCCCUGGACCCCAAAACCAGUCCUGGCUCUGAACAGAACAGCCAGAAGGACCUCCAUGCCAUUUGCUUCUUGGCUCAGUUCUGUGAUCGGAGGUAUCCAGCAAGAAAGAUGAUAAAACAGAGACAAUGUUCGUAUAAUAAUAAUACACUGGAGUAUUGCUGUGAGAGGAAGGCAAUACGGUAUAAGGAAGAGAUUGUCUGUCUUGAAUAGGAUUCCCUCUUCAGCAGAAGAAGGACAUGGGCCACCAUCCAGAGCAUUAAGUCUGAAAGACACUCUCUUUCCCUCUCUCCAGGAUGGGGCUCUGACCCUGGGAGACAGAAGCCAUGCUAAGGAAGAAGGGUGAGGGCCACCAGUAAUGAAGCAGACUUCAGGGCACCAGUUGUAUGAACUAACAGGUGAUUGCAUGACUAAAAUAAAGGACCAUUUUGCUCCACCUCUGGUCUCUGUGAGUUCAAGAUUGCCUAACAGAGAUUUCUUCUGCUGGUAACAGACGGAAAUUACCCUCCCUCCCACUAGCUAAGAAGGAACCACUGCUCCCAUAAGAACAACUAACAUUAACCGAAGGCUUAUGCAAAGUCCCUGUGCCCUCACAAUACCUGGUAUUUUGCAGGCUUCUGGCUCGAUAAAUUGGAAAAGCCAGUGCCAGCUGCGUGUACGGAAAUACCUUGGAGACGCUGCUGCUAGGGGAGUUCAUGAGCAAGGACCAAAAUAAGGCAGACUAUUUUUUCCUAGGAGUCUUGCCUACCAAGGGGCUGCCUGCUCCGAGCUGACGCUGCUUUGUUAAUUUCUCAGUGACAAGAGCCUGGUGGCUGCCAGGACAAGAUCCUUGGAAGCCCAGAGCUGAAUUAGAAGGCAGCUUUCCCCUUCCAGGCUCUAACGGAAUCGUUGUUCUCUGAGGAUCACCCUUGAACAAGCUCUGAGAGGGGACCGCCGGGCCGUGUGAUUACUCACACUUGUCACAAGUGCGGAAUUUCGCUUGGUGGCAUAACCAGAAGGCCGAUUAGAGGGGGUGCUGAUGACACCUUGAAAGCCUGGGUUGCAGAUGUUUUCAGCUGGCUCUGGGGAUGCCUCCCAUUCCAGAAAUGGCACGGCACACGCUCCUCUCCCUGCACACCGCACCCCGCCCUCCGCCCUCUCCCCAUUACCGCUAAUCACCACCUUGAAGUUUUAUGACUUUACAACCACUGUUUGGUGAGCUACAUCUGAAGGGAGAUAAAUCCUCAAAGCGAAGGCAAUUUGUCAGCGCAAUAUUAAAACGAAGUGUGAAGAAGAAACACUUCAGCAAAAGCCAAGCUCGCUAACCUUUCGAAAGUAAGUGUAUUUAAUUUGAGCUGAAUCAGGAAGACUGUUUGGAUGUCUUAUGUAUUUGUAAGCAUUAUGUGCAGGCUUCAUGUUACCCCAAAGGCUGCUUGUAAUCCUGUCCCCUCUGCAAAAAUGUCUUCUCGAGCUGUAAGCUGGAUUCUGAAUUCUCACUAGUCUGGAGUGCCUGUGUGCUCAACCCACCUUAGGGCCAUUUCCCAAAUAUCACUUCCUAUCUCCAUUUUCCUACCCCUUUCUCAGCCCUUACCACGUCACUCAAAAGGAGGCUGCUAGAUACACCUCAGAGAUGGGAUUUUUAAUAUAACAUCUUAACUCGCCUUCCUGUCUCCAGUUUCCACCUCUCUUGCCAAAAAGAAAUACAAACUAUUCUCCACGUAGUUGUGAAAGUGAUAUUCCAAAAAUAUAUAUCUAUCGCAUUGCUCUCCUGCUUAAAACGUCUAUGGCUCCCUAUUGCCUAUAGAAUCAAGUCCAAACUACUUAUAAUGGAAUUCAUGGUUGUUCUCUAUCUCUACCCACAGCUGUGCUUUUCAUAGCUCCUUUGCCUUCCAUGCCUCUGAUUGGAAUGCUACAACUUUUUAAUCUCAGGGCUGGGGAUGUUCUAGUCAUCCUUCAAACCCCAUGCCAGCACCUCUUUUAGAAUAUCUUUUCUGACUUAUUGUCUGUGUAUUUAAUCAUUUCCUCCUCGCAAUUAUUUCUGUCUCUUGUACAUGCCUGUAUUGGUGCACUUACUGUAUAUUAUAAUUUGUUUAUAUCUCUCUCUUACUUAAUUAUAACUUCUUGCAGGCACAGACUA